GACAGAGGGUGCAAACGUUGUUCGGAAUUACUGGGCGUAAAGCGCGUGUAGGCGGCCCGGAAAGUCGGAUGUGAAAGCCCUGGGCUUAACCUAGGAAGUGCAUUCGAAACUGCUGGGCUUGAGUUCUGGAGAGGAAGGCGGGAAUUCUCGGUGUAGAGGUGAAAUUCGUAGAUAUCGAGAGGAACACCGGUGGCGAAGGCGGCCUUAGCUGGACCAGUGACUGACGCUGAGACGCGAAAGCGUGGGGAGCAAACAGGG
This 258-nucleotide ribosomal RNA is filed under the name uncultured bacterium. RNAcentral's name for it is "partial 16S ribosomal RNA". It matches the Rfam family "Bacterial small subunit ribosomal RNA", at positions 524 to 777 of the family's 1533-position model. The record is from RNAcentral.